CAUUUAUCAUUUUUUUGUGCUCUGCUUGAUGUAAAUUGUAUCAAUUGAUUAUUUUGGAUGCCAAUUUACAUGGAUAUUGACAAUUUGAUCACAUAAUGUCAUCUUUGAUAAUCAACUAAAAGAGUAAACAAGAAUUGGAAUGGGAAUUGCAGGAGGAACCAAAAAACUAUGAUUGGGUUAAUCAAUCAUUGUAAUGUCUUAGAGGGUAAACCAAGAUAUCAAUCAAAUUGAUUAUUCACCUACACAUGAAAAAGGGUAAAUAAAUAUGGAUAAAUAAGCUUAAAAGGUAAGCAACAAGCGAAAAGCUGAAAAAAAUGAAACCUGAUUUUGAAAUGAAUUCAAUAAAAAUGAAAGCGAAUCAAUCAAUCGAUUGUAGUUGCUUUUAAUGCUUUUUAUGCUUUCUUUUUAUGCGCCAAUAUUUUUAGCAUGUGUUUGACACAGUGCUUUGUUAUAGAGGGAACAUUUUUUCAAUGCUUUGUUUUGUUCAUAAUUGAUAACUGUUUACCCAAUAUCUUGGAUUACAAUUAAUUUAAUCAUUUAAUUUAUUUUUUGUCUGUAUUAUUUUCAAUUGGACAAUUAAAGUAAUUGAGUCUAAUAGAGGAUUAAAGUUGACCCAAGUGAAAGGACAAGGUUUACUUUGGUAAACACAUGGAGUUGGCUAUUUGGUUACGUGACAAUCAUUGAAAUUGAGGUGAUAAUGACACACUGGAUGGUCCUAUCAAGACAAAAAUUGAAUGCAAUACUUGAGUUUUACAAAAAUCCUGUUAUUUAAGCUUUCAUCUUCUGACUGUUUUUGGUUUCGUCUGAUAUUUUGUUGCUGCUUAUUAGACUGAUGUGGAGUCAAUAUAAUGACACUCUGGUUACUUCAAUUAACUGCUUUGUUAAUCAAAUUAAGUUAAUCAAUUGAUGGUCUCAACAACUAUUGUUCUUUUAUUAAUUUGAAAUGAACAAGCUAUUGAAAGGGCGACGGAUAAAUAACCAGAAGAUGAUAAGGAUGACAAUUGGAGCAGUUGGAUCCUUUUUUUAGCAACAUUUUUGAUUUGUCCAUUUUGCUUCUUGAUUGGAAUCAACAAAUGAAGACAAUGUUAACACAUUUAACAACCUUUCUGUUUGCUGUUUAUUGAUAUAAACGUCAAUUCAAUCUGUUUAGGACUCAGGCUUAAGUAAAGAUUCAAGUUGAGACCAAGUGAAAACAAAAAGCAAAGAAAGUGCAAGAAGCAAGAAUAAUGUGAUACCCAAAAAAUAAUAUGUUGGUAAAUACAAAAGGAAGCUGUUGAGAAUCAAUUGAAUUGCAUGAGCAUUCAUGGACAUUGGAUAGGAAGGAAUGUUAUUUCAUCUGUUAUAUCUAAAAAACAGAGAGAUUUUGUUGCGAGUAUUUUGAUUUAACAAGUAAAGAUAAUAACUGAGUCGCUUGUAAAGCAAAGGAUACCAGAUUUAACAUCAACAAUAUGACAUUGACAACAAUUUUCACAAACUGCCCUGUCAAAUGAGAUGAAAAUUUUGAUUCUUUCAAUUUGCUUUUUCCCUCAAAGAAGCAAUUGAAACUUUGUCAAAAGUCAUCAUAAAAAUGUUAAUAAUAGUGAAAAAUGUUAAAGCUCAUCAUUUUUAUCCAUGAAUGUUCACUCAACCUCUCUUAAAUCCAGGAUAACUAUGAUUACUUUUUGUUUAGUUGAUGCUUAUUGAAUCAUUGUACCAGACAUUUACAUUGACCUUUAUCAGUUAAUCUAAAAAUAGCAACUCAAGUGUUGCCAUUUAAAUAUUAACUUGACUAAUCCUUUAUCACUUAAGCUAAUUGUUUAAGCAACGAGUUUUAAGUUGAUAGAGUUGAAUUAAUCCAAUAAAAAGAUGAUUAGUCUAAAAGAUUAAAGGUUACAUCAAAAGUUAGCCAAAAAUGAACAAAUAAAACUGGUUAACCAAACAUUCA
Tetranychus urticae (two-spotted spider mite) is the source of this 1924-nucleotide long non-coding RNA. RefSeq lists it as uncharacterized. Lineage: Eukaryota; Metazoa; Arthropoda; Arachnida; Trombidiformes; Tetranychidae. The record is from RefSeq and is a predicted model, not a curated record.